UUUCUGUAGCUGGAAUAUGGCUCCAUCCGCCUGGAUCUGGAGUCCAGAUUCCACUCUGUAGAGAAUACAUCCCACCAGAUGACUGAGAUCUUGGAAGAGCAGAAGACAGAUGAAGGUGUAUUCAACAUGCCUCCGAGUCCCGACCUGGAGGUGGAAGCUCAUUCUUCAGAGCAGGCGUCCAAAGAGCUGCCGGGGCCUCUGAAGAAAAGACGUGGCGAGCGCAAGAAGGAGAAGCAAGACAGCCAAGAGAACGCUGGGGCCGCCGAUGUUCCCGAACAAAAAGUCAACCUCAGGGUCCGAAGGACGGUGGAGGAGCAGACCCUCACGGUUCGUGGCCCUGGGGCUCUGGGACUGCGGGAACCCCUCGUGGGACACCAUCCGAACAAUGGGGCAUACCCCGGGCCUCGCGGAGCAAGGAGAGUCAAGAAGCAAGAAUCUGACACGGUCAAUCUGGAUUUCACAUCCACCAGUGCUCAAAAGGGAGAAAAAGGCUCUCCUGGAAGCCAAGGCAGCAAAGGAGAAAAGGUACUUUUCAACCUAUUUGCACCUGUGCUGGUUGAAAAAAAGGACGUUCCCUCUGAAUCCCAGCAAAUCUUGGGAAAGUUACUUUUUUGGACUAGAACCCCAGAUUACAGAGGACAUGCUGGCUGGAUGUUUUCCAGAAGUUUUUGUCAUCCAAAAAA
Molecule: long non-coding RNA, 683 nt
Filed under: Pogona vitticeps (central bearded dragon)
Lineage: Eukaryota; Metazoa; Chordata; Lepidosauria; Squamata; Agamidae
Description: lncRNA (ENSPVIG00000005895.1)
Source: RNAcentral